AUAUGCUUAGUGGUUGCACAAAGCAUUAGCCACCACAAACACGGGCAGUGUGCAUCCUACUGGAGAGUGGAGAGGAAAGAAUUCGAAGGUUGGUGGCGAGAUGGAGGUGGUGGUGAGCGCCUCCGCGGGGGUGCUGGAGACCCUCCUCCCGAAGCUGGGCAAGAUGCUCACCGACGAAUACAAGUUGCACAAGGGCGCCAAGGAGGGGGUCCAGUACAUCCGGGAUGAGCUGGAGAGCAUGGGAGCUGCCCUUGCGAAGGUGUCCGAGGUGCCGCCAGAUCUGCUGGACAAGCAGGUCAAGCUCUGGGCGACCAAGGUGAGGAAGAUGUCCUACAACAUCGAGGACACCAUCGAUUCCUUCAUGGUGCUCGUCGAUGCUGCUGCUAGCGGCGAGUCUUGUUCUGGACCGUGCACGAGGUGCUGCUACGUGGCCGUGGGAGCCAAAUCCUUGCUGCCACGGACGUACAAGGCUCGGGGCGACAUCGCCGCCGAGAUCGAGCGCAUAAAGAAGGAGGUUGAGGAUGUGAGCAAGCGCCGUGAGAGGUACAAAGUUGACAGUAUUGUGGCCCCAGCCCCGUCCCCGUCUGCGUCCGACCCCCGCUUGCUAGCCUUGUACGAAGAUGAAGCAAAGCUUGUUGGCAUUGACCACUCCAGAGAAGAGAUAAUCAAGUUGUUGUCCAUGGAAGGCGACGGUGAAGGUCCAUCGGACUCGGAGCAGAAGCUCAAGUUGGUCUCCAUCGUUGGCCCUGGUGGAAUGGGCAAAACCACCCUUGCCAAUGCGGUGUAUCAAAAGCUUGAGGGCAAAUUCGAACGCACAGCUUUUGUUUCCGUUUCUCUUCAGCCUAAUAUGAAGAAUAUCCUCAGCAGUAUACUUCGUCAAGUCAGCAGCAAAAUCAAAGAUGAUGAGGAGGACAAUGAUGAUAAGAAUAAGAGAGUGCGUCGUCAAGAAAGCCAAAAACAUUAUGGAAACACUGAAACGUGGUCUGAAAAGGAGAUCAUCGACAAAAUCAGACAUGCUCUUGAGAAAAGGAGGUACUUGAUUCUCAUUGAUGAUAUAUGGGACGAAAAACCAUGGAAACUUAUCAAAUGUGUUCUGGCUGAAAACAAACUUGGCAGUAAAGUGAUCAUGACGACUCGCAAUGUUGAUGUUGCUAGAUCAUGUUGUUCUUCUGACAAAGUUGAUGGUAUUGUUCAUGAACUGCAGCCUCUUUCAAACUGUGACUCUGAAAAACUAUUCUAUUACAAAAUAUUUGGUAACUAUGGAUACCCUCCCGAAUUAAAGGUUGUAUCACAGAAAAUACUGGAGAAGUGCGAAGGCUGGCCAUUAGGUAUCAUUGCCAUAGCUAGUUUACUUGCAAACAAACCAUCACAAACUAAGGAUCAGUGGUGCAGUGUAUACAACUCAAUUAGUACUGGACUCGAAAUUAAUCAUGGUGUGAAGGACAUGAGGUUGAUAUUAUCUCUUAGCUACCGUGAUAUGCCUUUACAGCUGAGAGCUUGUCUUCUGUACCUGAGCAUAUUUCCGGAGGACCAAAUAAUUGGGAGAGAUGACUUGAUACGGAGAUGGAUAGCCGAAGAUUUAGUUCGUGGAAGACAAGAUGAUAACCUGUAUGAGUUAGGAGACAAGUACUUUAACGAGCUUAUUAAUAGGAGUAUGAUCCAGCCGACUGAUGUUGAUGCCUUUGGGAGGGCGCAAGCUUGUAAGGUACAUGAUUUGGUACUUGAAUUUAUUACUUUCUUGUCAGCUGAAGAAGACUUCGUCACCAUAUUGAAUGGACAGCAACCUUUUCCACCUCAGCCGGACAGCAUACAUCGGCUAUCCCUCCGAAACAGCAAGGGAGAGCACGGCAUACCUCAGGCUACCAAGAGGUUGCCUCAUGUGAGGACACUGUUCGUAUCCUCGCGUGUUAAUUCAAUGCCACCCCUCUCCAUCUUUCCAGUUCUACGUGUCUUGGAACUAGAGCAGUGCACGAGAUAUAACAUCAGAGGUGUGGAAAAAUUGCUUCACUUGAGGUAUCUGAGGCUAAGCCAGGCAUACCAUUAUUACUAUGAUGUUUGCAUUAAGCUUCCAGAAGAAAUAGGAAAUCUACAGUUUUUGCAGACACUUGACCUCAAGGAAGCCAGGAUAAAAGAAUUGCCAUCCACAGUGGUUCGUCUCAGGCAAGUGAGGGUGCUAGAGAUUUCACUCCGUAAAUGGGACAAGAGGUGUGAGGAGCGUUUGAUCCAGUGUUUGUGCAAUCAGAAGCAGCUUGAAGCUCUUUAUAUAUUCGCUCCAGAUUAUUCACUGGAUUUCAUGUUGCGGGUCAACUGGGCCCCUUCGCACCUCCAAAGAUUUACCGUAUGUGCUCGCCAGAAUGAAGAAAAUGCAUCCCUCACUGCAUUUGUACACUGGUUGGCGUUUAGCCCACUCUCCACACUACCAAAGUGGAUCAACUCAUCGCUUUCACACCUCUCCAACCUAUCCAUUGUGGUGAAGAUACUGCUCAAGGAGGAUCUCUGCAGUCUCGGGUGCUUGCCUGCCCUUCGUUCUCUUUAUUUGCAAGUGAUAGAAGCCCCAACAAAAGAAAGGUUGGAGAUCACAGAGAGAACUGGUGGUCAUGCGAUAGCAUUCUGUUGCCUUGUAAACUUCAGGUUCAUGAGUCGUGCAAUGGGCCUGGUGUUCAGACCAGGAGCUAUGAAGGGGCUGCAGCGGCUUUCUCUUACUUUUGAUGUUGCACAGACAAAGGAUGUUUAUGUUGAUUUCAACUUGGGCUUGGAGAAUCUUACCUCCCUUCAAGCUUUGGACGUUGAACUAGACUGUCGCUGUGCAACAACUUCAGAGGUGCAGGCAGCGGAGGAUGCAACCUACUUGAAUGCCAACCAUCCCACCUUUCAUGUGAGCAGACAUUUUACAGAAGAAAUGCGAUGUGAUCAUGUGGAGGAGACCCCUGAUCUGGGAACAAUGAGGAUAGAGGAUGCUGGACUUGCAAGGAUUGGGCCAUGUGGUGAAGGAGGGGGGAGGGCCUGUGACAUCAAGGCGGUACCCCAGCGCCUAGAAAGCGUCACAAUUUACAGCGGCUCUUUGGUAGAAUCAUUUGCAUUUUCAUACAGAGACCACGACGGGCAGCAUCAUAUCGCCGGUCCAUGGGGCAGCCAUCCUGGCAAGAACAAUAACGAUGUUAUCCAUCUUGAGCCUUCAGAGUUUCUCAAGGAAGUCUCUGGAACGGUGGGUUCUUACGGUGCAUUAACCAAUGUCAUAACGUCCCUUACAUUGGUCACGAGUGCUUGCACCUAUGGACCUUUUGGAAAAGGAGAUGGGAUUCCGUUUAGCAUGGCAGCAGCGAGCAAUAGCAGCAUCGUUGGCUUCUUUGGGCGUUCAGGGUGGUAUCUUGACGCCAUCGGUGUCUACACUUGCCCACUCUGACUGUGAUUCACCGAAGCCAGUAAACGGAGGAUACUAACUACUGGCGACAGGCGGUGAGGUUUCAGUGUUCCACAGGCAAAGGAACGUCCUCUGAAGAUGGCUUCGCUAUCAUCGACUCAAAUCAGUACUACAUAUCCACGCGUUUUGGAGAAUAGAGCAAUUUUCAAUGGUUCCUCUAGUGCUACCCAAGUACCUCCAGAAAGAGCACAUCAAGACCAAAGUUCACACAUCCCAACCUCAUCUGCUCCACCACUUGGUCCUAACACAAUGAGAAAGAAAAAAACAUCAGCUCCAACAGCAACAGCAUCAACAGUUUCAACGGCAGCUCCAAGAGCACCAGCAAGGGCAUCAAGAAGGGGAUUCAAUGCACCUAGAACAUCCACUGGAGCCGUUGUGAUAUUAUCAGGCAAGAGGAAGAGGAAACCUACUAGCAGGUUUGAAGCCUAUUUCAAUGCAAGUGGAAACCAUUAAAACUGUGAUUGAUGGUUUGUACUAAGAUGAAUUUGAUGUACUAAGAUUGAUGGUUUGUAUUAAGAUGAAUUUGAUGUACUAAGAUA
RNA transcript from Hordeum vulgare subsp. vulgare (domesticated barley), 3960 nucleotides. It is a transcript of the gene named disease resistance protein RGA5-like, with no coding region annotated. NCBI's taxonomy places the organism in Eukaryota, Viridiplantae, Streptophyta, Magnoliopsida, Poales, Poaceae. The record is from RefSeq and is a predicted model, not a curated record. The transcript has 7 exons.